Long non-coding RNA from Acromyrmex echinatior (Panamanian leafcutter ant), 1404 nucleotides. RefSeq lists it as uncharacterized. Lineage: Eukaryota; Metazoa; Arthropoda; Insecta; Hymenoptera; Formicidae. The record is from RefSeq and is a predicted model, not a curated record.
GAACGCAUGAGGUCCCGGUCACUAUAUCUUCCCUGACGAGAAGGUUACAUCUUCCCGUGUCGUAUUCGCGCCUAUAUAUCUCAUAAUCUCAUUACACCGCGUGCACACACAUUGUUCGCGCUCACGUAUACGUCAGAAAGUUUGUUGGUGCGCAGAAGUUACAUCGUUUCUGCGAGUGGGGUAGGGAGAGAAAGAGUGAGAGAGAAAGAGAUGAACGCACGGAAGAAACAGAAGAGAACUAGAGCGAGAGAGAGAGAGAGAAAGAGUGAAUUCAGGUAACAAACGUACCUGAGAUGUCACACCACUAAAGAGAUCUAUCUCUAAAUGGUCACUCUGGUCACGAAACGUCGUCGGUGAGCCACUUGUGAUUUACCGCGCUUUCCUUCAUCAACGUUAAACUAAAACCAGUUGUUCCUUCGCCGAGGUUCACCGAGGUUCUGCCUCGACUUGACUCGGUUAUGCGCGAGCGCGCGUUCACAUAGUUAACACCACGUCCUACACAGAAUGUGGGGGAGACGCGGUUCACGCAGUUACGAUAUACCGGUUACAUACGUAUAUACAUAUUUAUUUACAUGGAGAGACCGCGUAAACAAAUCGACGCGCGCGAUCUAUACGCGCGGCAGGAAUCGGCGAUACGAUACUCGCCACUACUCGCGCAAAAUGGCUGACGCCGAAGAAUAAUUGCUACUCUCGGCCGAGAAUUGAAAACACGACUCGCCAAUCGAUACGCGGCUAAAGCGCGCGCCGCAUUGGCCGCUUUCGUAUCGGCGCGCGAUUUCCCGCCACCGAUUGGUCGGUCCGGCGACGCGGCGACGUCUAUCAUGACACCGAGCUGUGGCGAGUUCCGAAAGCACUCCGGAAAAGUGCUCGUAGAACACUUGGAACACUUCAAUGUCUCCAAUUCCCAUUUCCCUCGCCGACCGAACUCUGCGAACGACCGAGUUUUCAACCUUUCAACUGUGAAUCAUUAAUCGAUCGCUCAUCCCGACUUAUCUUAAGAUUCGAGAGGGAACACAAAGGAACGGAGAUAAAGGAACUUCAAGUUCGUCCGAGAUUUUCAUUAUUAAAAACGUAGAAUGAAUAUUAGGAGGAUUCAUCUCCAGAUAAGAAGCAGAAGCAAAGUUAAAAACAGCAAAAAAUUUAAAUUCCUGAAAAUCGUGAUACAAUCGGAUUAUUCAUUUUCGCAAUCUGCGAAUAAAUAAGCAAUACUCGGAGUUUUAUCGAGCAGACGGAAAAUUUUUAUACAACAUCCGAUUACAUCAAAUCUGCACAAGUUUAUUAAAUAUAAACAGGCACGCAGGUAGUUAAAGUCUCGCUUUAUAGCGAGAGGUUUUAUAACGAUUUGCAAUUUUCCUAUUUAGUUUUCUCGCAAGUAACGCGUUUGUAUACUGCGGCAAGCUUUAU